UGAGUGCUUGCACAAGAUUGGACUUGGAUUACCACCUAGUGGCGGACGGGUGAGUAACACGUAGGUGACCUACCUUUGAGUUUGGGAUAACUAUUAGAAAUGAUAGCUAAUACCGAAUUAAAUGCAGAUUCGUUUCUGUAUUAAAAGGAGCCUUUAAAGCUUCGCUUAAAGAUGGGCCUGCGGCGUAUUAGCUAGUUGGUGAGGUAAUGGCUUACCAAGGCGACGAUGCGUAGCCGAACUGAGAGGUUGAUCGGCCACAUUGGGACUGAGACACGGCCCAAACUCCUACGGGAGACAGCAGUUAGGAAUAUUCGUCAAUGGGGGAAACCCUGAACGAGCAAUGCCGCGUGAACGAUGAAGGCCCUAUGGGUUGUAAAGUUCUGUUGCAUGGGACGAACGAUUAGGAUAGGAAAUGAUCUUAAUGUGACGGUACCAUGCCAGAAAGCUCCGGCUAACUACGUGCCAGCAGCCGCGGUAAUACGUAGGGAGCAAGCGUUAUCCGGAUUUAUUGGGCGUAAAGGGUGCGUAGGCGGCUUGUUAAGUAUGAGAUUAAAGCCCGAGGCUUAACCUCGGUUCGUUUCGUAAACUGGCAGGCUUGAGUGUGGCAGAGGUAAACGGAAUUUCUAGUGUAGCGGUUAAAUGCGUAGAUAUUAGAAGGAACACCAGUGGCGAAGGCGGUUUACUGGGCCAUAACUGACGCUGAGGCACGAAAGCGUGGGGAGCAAAUAGGAUUAGAUACCCUAGUAGUCCACGCCGUAAACGAUGAGUACUAAGUGUUGGGGCAACCCAGUGCU
RNAcentral lists this ribosomal RNA (794 nucleotides) under uncultured bacterium. Its description in RNAcentral is "bacterial SSU rRNA". It matches the Rfam family "Bacterial small subunit ribosomal RNA", at positions 67 to 847 of the family's 1533-position model. The record is from RNAcentral.